RNAcentral lists this ribosomal RNA (742 nucleotides) under uncultured Rheinheimera sp. RNAcentral's name for it is "bacterial SSU rRNA". It matches the Rfam family "Bacterial small subunit ribosomal RNA", at positions 108 to 846 of the family's 1533-position model. Lineage: Bacteria; Pseudomonadati; Pseudomonadota; Gammaproteobacteria; Chromatiales; Chromatiaceae. The record is from RNAcentral.
GAGUAAUGCGUAGGAAGCUACCCGAUAGAGGGGGAUACCAGUUGGAAACGACUGUUAAUACCGCAUAAUGUCUACGGACCAAAGUGUGGGACUUUCGGGCCACAUGCUAUCGGAUGCGCCUACGUGGGAUUAGCUAGUUGGUGAGGUAAUGGCUCACCAAGGCGACGAUCCCUAGCUGGUUUGAGAGGAUGAUCAGCCACACUGGAACUGAGACACGGUCCAGACUCCUACGGGAGGCAGCAGUGGGGAAUAUUGGACAAUGGGCGCAAGCCUGAUCCAGCCAUGCCGCGUGUGUGAAGAAGGCCUUCGGGUUGUAAAGCACUUUCAGUUGGGAGGAAGGGUUGUGUGUUUAUAGUACACAGCCUUGACGUUACCAACAGAAGAAGCACCGGCUGACUCUGUGCCAGCAGCCGCGGUAAUACAGAGGGUGCAAGCGUUAAUCGGAAUUACUGGGCGUAAAGCGCACGUAGGCGGUUUUUUAAGUCAGAUGUGAAAGCCCCGGGCUCAACCUGGGAAUUGCAUUUGAAACUGGAAAACUAGAGUGUGUGAGAGGGGGGUAGAAUUCCAAGUGUAGCGGUGAAAUGCGUAGAGAUUUGGAGGAAUACCAGUGGCGAAGGCGGCCCCCUGGCACAACACUGACGCUCAGGUGCGAAAGCGUGGGGAGCAACCAGGAUUAGAUACCCUGGUAGUCCACGCCGUAAACGAUGUCUCCUUGGAGGUUGUGCCCUUGAGGCGUGGCCUC